AAAAAAACAAACCCUGAUUUCCGUGUCCAACAUUUGACUGUCCGUCUUAUUUGAAGAAAAUAUGAAAAAAAUUAAAAAGACAAGUCACGCAUAAAAUAUUAAUCAUGUUUUAUCAUCUAACAACAAUAAAAAUACGAAUUAUAAAAAAAUUUCAUAUAAAACGGACAGUCAAAGUUAGACACGGAAAUCUAUGGUUUGCUUCUU
Molecule: microRNA precursor, 204 nt
Organism: Oryza sativa Indica Group (long-grained rice)
Lineage: Eukaryota; Viridiplantae; Streptophyta; Magnoliopsida; Poales; Poaceae
Rfam family: MIR812 microRNA precursor family
Source: Rfam